Molecule: long non-coding RNA, 832 nt
Organism: Columba livia (rock pigeon)
Lineage: Eukaryota; Metazoa; Chordata; Aves; Columbiformes; Columbidae
Exons: 4
Source: RefSeq, a predicted model, not a curated record
UCAGUUUAUUCCACCUUUGAUCCCUGUGUGCCGGUUGCCAAUUUUCCCCCUUGCUCCUUAUCGUGAAGCUGCCAAGGAGCACAGCAGAACUGACACAGCGAGGCACAGAGAUCCUGUGGGAACGGCUGAGAAUUGACAAGUGACGGCAGAACAAGUGGCAGUGACCAGGUUUUGACCCUGAGAUCUGAUUCCACAUUUAAAGUUCCUUGAGAUGAUGCAGGAAUAAACAGAUGGAGCCACUCUGGGUUCUCCCCUAGUCCUGGGGGAUCCACAGUGUUCAUUUGGAGUUUUCUUUUUCAUUGAAAAGGACACAUCGCCUUCUCCCAGAUAACUGUUUCUUUAAAUUAUGUGCAGUCUCUCUGCAAGACAUGCCGCUUUGCUCUGUAAUUACACAGGAAGCUGGAACAGAAGAAUUUCUAUGGUUAUGUUUAGCAACCUUAUCAAAACUACAAUGGGAAAGGGAACCAGUAUUGUUUUCCAGACUGGCUCUGCUUACCACACUAAUACUUGACAGAGAACAGGUAUGAUUGUUGCGUUGCCUCAAAGCAUUCGAGAAUAUGGGAUCUGCCAUACUGGUUCCAACCCAGCCUGUAUCUCAAGGGUGCCCAGCAGGAACCAUCAUGCAGAGACAGCACAGGAAGGUGGGAGAAACUAAGUGCUUUACAUUGAUCACUAUUUCAGAACAUAAAGUCAUCAGCACAAAGCCAGUGCUCCUGACAAGUGAAGAAAUGCUACAGUUUACCCACAAUUUAAAUGGAGCAUGGUGACGCAGAGAGGAUCAGCAACUCAUACGGUGGCAUGUGGUGACUCAGGGAGCUGAACAUGGGAUAGA